AUAGCUGCUUAAAAUGCUGUGAAUGUGACAGCCAAUAGUCCAGACUGCCCGCGUGGGGAAGGUGAUGGGAGAAAGCCAUGCGUAACCAGCGAAGAAGAUGAGUGCAAAAACAACACACUCGCAGACACAGGGCUGACACUGCGAGGGAAGGCGCAGACGGAAACGGCGCGCGCUACUCCACAAGUGACUGGGGAUACGCACGUUCCGAAUAUCGGGGACAAAAGCGCGCAGACACAGAGAGAGAGAGGGGGGAGUGCGAGAGAGGGGAGACGACGACGGACUGUGGUGCGAGUAGCGUUACCCUUGGGGGGUAAAAAUGACCGUAGUGCCCGGAGAAAACCUCGAUGAGACUGUGGCACUGUCCGCCCUGUCCCAAGAUGUCUAUGACCCAGAGCGAGCGGAUCAGGAGUGCUGCGAGAGGGUGGUCAUCAACAUCUCCGGGCUACGAUUUGAAACUCAACUGAAAACCCUCGCGCAGUUUCCCGCUACCUUGUUGGGGGAUCCAAGGAAAAGGAUGCGUUUCUUUGAUCCAUUGAGAAAUGAGUAUUUCUUUGACAGGAAUCGACCCAGCUUUGACGCGAUCCUCUAUUAUUACCAAUCUGGGGGGCGACUCCGGAGACCUGUCAAUGUGCCGGUGGACAUAUUCAUGGAGGAGAUAAAAUUUUAUGAAUUAGGGGAAGAGGUCAUCGAAAAUUUCAAAGAGGAUGAAGGUUUCAUUAAAGAGGAAGAGCGUCCAUUGCCAGACAAUGAAUUCCAACGUCAAGUCUGGCUUUUGUUUGAAUACCCUGAAAGCUCAGGACCCGCGAGGGGCAUCGCAAUAGUUUCGGUCAUGGUCAUUUUGAUAUCGAUUGUUAUUUUCUGCCUGGAGACCUUGCCCGAGUUCAGGGAGGAUAACAGACUGCACGAGGAUCACCUGGCUUUGAACAGAACGGUUCAAAUGAAGAAGCCCAAUCCGUUCACGGACCCCUUCUUCAUUGUGGAGACGCUGUGCAUCAUAUGGUUCUCCUUCGAAUUACUGGUGAGGUUUCUCGCGUGCCCCAGCAAGCCCGCCUUCUUUAAAAACAUCAUGAACACCAUAGACAUAGUGGCGAUUAUGCCCUAUUUCAUCACGCUCGGCUUGGAGCUCGCGGAACACCAGGGCAACGGUCAGCAAGCCAUGUCUUUGGCCAUACUGAGGGUUAUCCGCUUGGUGCGAGUUUUCAGGAUCUUCAAGCUCUCCAGACACUCUAAAGGCCUCCAGAUCCUGGGGAAGACGCUCCAGGCGAGCAUGAGGGAGCUCGGGCUUCUCAUAUUCUUCCUCUUCAUCGGAGUCAUCUUGUUUUCCAGCGCCGUCUACUUCGCCGAGACCGACGACCCAGAAUCUGGAUUCAGUAGUAUCCCCGACGCGUUCUGGUGGGCAGUGGUAUCCAUGACUACGGUGGGCUACGGGGACAUGUGCCCGGUCACAAUCGGCGGAAAAAUUGUCGGCUCGCUGUGUGCCAUCGCCGGCGUGUUGACCAUCGCGCUGCCAGUCCCCGUCAUCGUCUCAAAUUUCAACUAUUUCUAUCACCGGGAGACGGAGCACGAGGAGCAGUUUCAGUACACUCACGUAACGUGCGGGCAGCAGCAGCCCUCUUUCGGAGAAUUUAGAAAGAGUGACAGCAAGCCUUCCCUCACCAAAUCAGAGUACAUGGACUCAGACGAUUUCGAUGCAAUAAAAUACACAAAUUGUAGCCCGCACAAAGCGUACACGGGCAAGCUGACAGAUGUGUGAUUGUAGACAGCGCGGAAAUGGACCCAGAGAAAUGUGCGUUUCUUGUGAGUACAUACCCCCCAUUCGGCACUGUUGCUUAAUAUAAAAGACGCCUCAUUCCCACCAUUCCUGACUUAAAAAAGAGGGUUUCUACGACAGAAUCAUAUAAGCAGGAUUACAGAGACGCGUAUUGUUCAUUCUCUUUUCACUGUCUUCCAUUUCCUGCAACCGCGUUACUCAAUGCGUAAAGUUGGCAUUGAACCCCGAAUUUAGCAACUGAAAUCAACCUCAUAUCCAUUAUAUGCCUAACCUCUAAUUGUAGCACUUUAUCAUCAUACUCUUAGUAAUGUAGGCUAUAAAGUACCAUGUCUAGUUGUGUCAUUUGGGGAAGUUUACAUACGGUUUGCUUAUUUAGCGAUAAUAGCGAGAAAAGAGGACCAAUCAAAACCAAUCAAGCAAUGUACGUGAAUGCUACUCUUCACUUGCGGGCAGUGCAAUUAAUUCCACAAGGUCACACGGAGAGCCGACCCUCCCCUUUGUUUUCCUCUCGUCUGCUUCGGUCACGUAUUUUCCACCGCUGCCACAAGUGCAGGCGUUAUCCGCGCAUUAGUUAUGGGGAAUUAGAGGAGUUGGACGGGUCAGUGCAGCCAUUCCAUUGUCUUUUAUAGCUGUAGCCGGCGCGUGUCCUCUGAAGACCGCGCGCAUCGCCAUCCAAAAACCAGCUGUCACCGGAACGUGACGAGCAGUCAGCAGCCUCGCCAAUACUCCGGCUUAAUGGUUCGUGGCAUAAAUAAAAUAACCAAAAAAAAAAAAAAAAAUCAAAAUGACGACAAUUUGCUUUUCAUGUUGAUUAAAAGCACUUCUGACACAGAUAUUAACUAAAUUAAUAGAUUAUACCAUUAUUAUGUCGUUUACGCACGUUGCAGAGGAAUUUUACUUCAUGUGAAUAUUCCCGUCUUGUCGCCGAAUGUAGACAGUAUAUAGCCUGUGGUACACUGAGACAGCGCCAAUGAUAACAUAGAAUCUAUAUAAAUUGCAAUUUAUUUAUUCUUAAAUAAACAUAUUGAUGAGAUUAUAAACUUGAUACGGGGAUGUGCGCCAUAUACUGUUAGUUCCAAUUCGGCUGGCUAAUUUUAUGAGAUUUAUAAACCAGGGGUGCCACUGUGUGGCUGAACGCAAGUAUUGCAAAAUGUCUCUGAAGACGAUAUGUUUCUAUGGCAACCUUCCAGACCGUUCUACAUCUUUGACGCUGGCAAGAGCUUGUUGCCUUUAUAAGUUAGCCAGCAGGCUGCGUAAUGGAAGGCUUAAAAUAAUCGUUUAGCAAACGUGAGUACAGCCAGUGUAAUCAAGCAUGCUGAUAAACGUGGACACGGACAUGAUGACCUGUCACCUUUAAUGUUUUAGGGACCCAUCUUACAGCAUCUUCAAAAAGACAUUAAAAAAUAACUACUUAAAACGCAAAGCAGGGGAAUAUUUUGCGUAAUUGUACAAAACACCUACUCCAAAGAAUAUGCUAUUCAAGUGAAUGGCAUUGAUUUAAGCUAACAUUUAUGGAAACUAAAGACAAACGAACCUAGCUAUAUGUAGACUAAUGGAAGGACGUAAACUGAAAGUGCACAAUGUCCCCAAGAGGCAAAUGGUGGUAAAUUAUGGGGCAGAACCAUACCUCUCUGAAUUUUUUUGGUUUAACACACCUGUGUCCGAAAUCAUCCAAUGCAAAAAAGAGAGACAACGGAAUAUCCUGGAAAUAAGUUAUUCACCCAAAACCUGUUUUGCUGCAUCGUCAUUUAAAGAAAUAAGGAAUAGUAUUUUUUUACAUGCCCUUUGCUGUGGCGCAAGGAUGACAAACUCGGAUUCCGAUUGGCUGCAUUGAGUGUGGCGGUCACACGUCACGGUACAUUGCAAAUGGUGCGACCACGAAUGCAAAUGAAGCGAACGCAAAGACCUGGCCAUGGCACUUGAACUCUGUACUAAUGUCUUCUGACGUUUUUGGAUGGGAAUGUGACGUUCACAGUCUACCCAAGGAAACGCCGCGACAAUCCUGCAUGGAGGUGAGCUUCUAAUUAAAUACCAAGUCAAAUAAAACCUCUUUCAGGAGGCAGGUCCGCCGACACGCUCAGUCCGACUCAUAUAUAUUAACUGAAUACCAGAUCAUAAUUUCUGUUAAAAUACCGACACCAAUUUAUCCAUGAGAUAACGGUAUGUACAUGCAAUCUACAAUUAUUAUUACAUAGGACAACAGUUUGAUGUAAUGUCAUGGCUAACUGCAUUAUACCGUAAUGUGUGCAUGCAGGUGUGCAAUGAGUAUUGCUUAUGGAUGGGGUAAACUCAUUUAAGCCAUCACAUUUUGGGGAGUUCUCUAUCUCAAAAACAUGGGACAUAAACUCACAAAGCCACAGAGCUCACGAUGUAGAUUUUCAAGAUGGUUAUCACACAAGCUUUAGAAUCUAUGAAAGACAGACCUAUUAUGACAUAACAAUAAUGAGUUGCCUAUCCUCAGGAUAAUCAUUUUGGUAAUGUAAAGGUUUACUUGGUAGGCUAUAGCAUGAUCCCCAGCGAUUGAAUCGAAACAUUUUCAAAUAAACUUUAUGAGCCAUAGUUGUCACUUUCAUUGCUAAGGAGAGAAAUGAUUUUUCAGCCAAGAAAAAAAACAAUAAUAAAAUAUUGCUUGUAAGCAAUUUAACCGGGGGUUGAAAAUUUACCCAAAUGAACAAUAUUCAGACAUACAGAGAGCAAUUUACUCUUGUUAGAGUUGCCAGGGAGCAUCUGUUGUCAUUACUACCCACCGAAUCCACUGAUUUAUUAACUUCAGUAUUUUCGGUUCAGAAAAUAAGCAACACAAUGUAAAAGACCUCAGUUUUAGUCACAGGCUGCACAUUAAGAAGCUUGGAUGCGUUCGAACAAUAUCACAAACACGUCAUUAAAAUAACGAAUGUCCUCACGCAAUAACAAGUCAUUGGAAAUUAGAUACGACCGGUCACUCACAGAAUGAGUUGUCAUACUGAGAGAGAGACACUUGGGGGCAAUGUCUGCUUAUUCUAUACACAAAUUGAGGACACAAGAAUAUUUUAAACAAAAUUAUUGUACCAUUUGUUCCCGUUCAGUAAUCACAAAAAUUCUGUUCAUAGUCCUGGGAAAAUAUUAGCAGUAAUAAGAAAGACCAUGGUAAUGACAAGAAGAAUACAAAUGUUGUGAAAAUGUCUUAAUGCUGAUUUUGAGAUUGUAUAUCUUGGACAGAGAAUGGAGCUGUCCAGUUCUGUUUAUUCAUUACGCAUGGCUAACACUAGGAUUCAGUAAAUAUUUAAAAUAUAAUGAUACUACAACUCAUAUGACUUUACACACCUCUAAAUUAACUCUGUUAAUCAAAAUUUACAUGGAAAAUAAUUCUAUUAGAACCGUUUUGGAAAUUUUAGGUGUACAGCCAUUAUAAGUCUGACUAAUGAGAACAAGGCGGUGUUUACCUCUCCAGCAUCCACCUGUAACUCCAGUCAUAUUGAGUGAAAGGAGUAGAGGGUGGGUUCUGCUCUACGCACCGUGAUAAACAUGUGGCACAUCCAGCCACAAACAAUUUUGAGGGAAUGAUUAAUGAAUUUACCUUCCCACAGGAAAAAAGAACAAAAAAACAAAACAUGCCUGUUGGAAUGGCUGGUGAAUAUUACUAAUUCACCAAUCUGUUGCCCACUUAAUAGUAUAUUAAUGCAUAUACAGUAUAUGUGUAUGAUGGCAGUUUCCAUUUAACCCUGUUUUAUUUAAAAAAUGAACAGUCAGACGUGAAUGCGUAUGCAGCAGGCAGCAGGUGUGUCUGCAGUGAGGCGGGCUCUGUGUUUACUGUGAAUAUUGGCCUACCAGCCUCCAGCUGCACGCCAGGGUCACUGGAGGUUAAUGUGACUGUCAGGGCCAGGUAGUGUGGCCGUGUAAUGAAAGAGGAGCAAUGGGUUAUGUCGAUGGAUCCAAAAUGGGGGGAGGAGGGGGGGCAGGAGGGAAGUCCCUUCUCUUUGUCUUAGUGAUGAGUGCAGUGGUCAGCUCAGAUUAAGAUAAGGAAGUUAAGAAGCUCUGCUCUAUCAGUUAGUCCCUAACGAACUCAUCACUGGCGUCAUUUGUAUUUUAAAUAGGUUGUGUUUACAUUUUGAAUAGUCAGUCACACAGCUUUGCAGUGUGCAAUCCACAUCUCUAAUCCUGUGAUUCUGUUUCACUCUUUACCUCAACCAUGCUGGAGCAGGCCAAUUAAUCAAACCACAUCUCUAAUCCUGUGAUUCUGUUUCACUCUUUACCUCAACCAUGCUGGAGCAGGCCAAUUAAUCAAACCACAUCUCUAAUCCUGCGAUUAUGUUUCACUCUUUACCUCAACCAUGCUGGAGCAGGCCUAAUUAAUCAAACCACAUCUCUAAUCCUGCGAUCUGUUUCACUCUUUACCUCAACCAUGCUGGAGCAGGCCUAAUUAAUCAAUCCACAUCUCUAAUCCUGUGAUUCUGUUUCACUCUUUACCUCAACCAUGCUGGAGCAGGCCUAAUUAAUCAAACCACAUCUCUAAUCCUGUGAUUCUGUUUCACUCUUUACCUCAACCAUGCUGGAGCAGGCCAAUUAAUCAAACCACAUCUCUAAUCCUGUGAUUCUGUUUCACUCUUUACCUCAACCAUGCUGGAGCAGGCCAAUUAAUCAAACCACAUCUCUAAUCCUGCGAUUAUGUUUCACUCUUUACCUCAACCAUGCUGGAGCAGGCCUAAUUAAUCAAACCACAUCUCUAAUCCUGCGAUUAUGUUUCACUCUUUACCUCAACCAUGCUGGAGCAGGCCUAAUUAAUCAAACCACAUCUCUAAUCCUGUGAUUCUGUUUCACUCUUUACCUCAACCAUGCUGGAGCAGGCCUAAUUAAUCAAACCACAUCUCUAAUCCUGCGAUUCUGUUUCACUCUUUACCUCAACCAUGCUGGAGCAGCCCAAUUAAUCAAACCACAUAUCUAAUCCUGUGAUUCUGUUUCACUCUUUACCUCAACCAUGCUGGUGCAGGCCUAAUUAAUCAAACCACAUCUCUAAUCCUGCGAUUCUGUUUUACUCUUUACCUCAACCAUGCUGGAGCAGCCCAAUUAAUCAAACCACAUAUCUAAUCCUGUGAUUCUGUUUCACUCUUUACCUCAACCAUGCUGGAGCAGGCCAAACUAAUCAAACCAUAUCUCCGAUUCUGUGCCACCAUCCCAAACCCCAAACUGCAGCCAGGCUAAAUUGUAGUCUUUUUGGCAUUUAGAAGAUGCGCUUAUCCACAGCAACUUAGAGAUUACACUUUUUCAUACAGUCGCAUACAUAAAGCUGAAUAUUUUACUGGCGCAGUUCAGGUUAUGCAGUUAGUAGCUUAAUUAAAACAUUUUUUGUGGUAUUUAAAAGCAGUAAUUGCAUAUUUGCACAUUUAUAGCGAAGUACUGUAAUAUUUUGAUAAUAUAUUUCAUUAAAUAUAUCUUAUUUAAUAUAUUCUCAGUGUGUUCUAUUUCAAAGGGUACAUUACAGCAAUAUGCAAAAUUAGAAUCCGACAAUCCAGUUGUUCCAACGUGUUCAUUAUGGAAGAGUCCCUGCUGCUGUUGUUAUUGGCGGCAGUGGCAGCGCCUCUGAUAUCAGCACUCUCACCCCGAAGAUUUAACUUGGGGUCGGCCCGAGCGUGCGCGCGCGGUAACCGUUGCUACGGUAAUCCGUUUUUUUUUAUUGCCGGUGCACAAAGCCCCCGAAGCCAUCCGUUAAUGUUGCAGGACAAGCUGUCAGAUGUCGUCUGCGUUCUGUUUCCCCACCGCUGCGCUGUCGAGUGUGGCAGGCGUGCCGCGGCGGGGCCAGAGAACCGCCACGCCGCGCCGCGAUGCGCUGAGAAGGUCAGCUUAUUUACGGCGGCGCGUGUGCAUCGAUUCCCGCUAAACCGGGGGGGACUUACGUCUCUCCCCCGCCUGACGAACGACCGCCGCGUGAGCGCUGACACCUCCACCCACCCCCCCCCCGAAUUUCAGCGGCACGGCCCGCCACCGAUAGGCAUCGCGCAGAACUGGAGACGCGGGAGAACAGGGGUUGGUGGCGUAGGCCGCUGGGUCAAACAGAGGCUUCUGGAGAGGUAGGGAACGGAGCACAGCAGUGUGUGGUUUGGAAGAAAAUAAAAAACACAAACAAACAAAUGUGAUUUUAACCAGCUUUGUUGUUGAUGAUGACUCAGCCACACUUUUCAAAUAUCACAUCUUAAUAUCGUGAGCUCAUUUCGUUUUCAUUCUGAAUUACUGGGUACUGCGCGACUGCCAAGUGAAGACUUGCUUGCGUGGUGGAAUUUUCAACUCUUGUCCAGAGGCUUUGCGUUUAGUCAUGUAAAUUCACAUGAAAAUAAAACAACAUUCUCCUGCGUGUGUAGAGUCAGGCUCAGACUGACUUCUGACCUUGAGUGUGUGUCGUAGCUGCAGUGCAGGGCUGAGCUGACAGCUCAUUGACGUUAAUGAGAGGGAAAUGUGACUGGGAGACAGGACUGAGGCCACUGCAGUGAGCAACAGCGAAAGGGGAGACAGCUCAGCUCCUGCGUCUCCAGCAUGAGCGUGCGGCUGAGAGAGAGUGUGUGAGUGUGAGAGCGUGUGUUUGUGUGCGAGCGUGUGUGUGUGUGUGUGUGUGUUUUAGCAUUAGCGUGAAGGGGACAGUAGAGAGAGAGAGCAGCCACAGUGUGGCAGUGUGGACAGGCCGCACUGAGUAAGUGGCAGCCUGGCCAGGAGCAAUACGGAAUCUGGAACACUCCAGUGCACUGUGAUGUCACAAACAUGGCUUCCCUGUGAGCUGCACUCAGAAUGCAUCUCUGCAGCCAGUAUGCACAACUGACUCAAAGCACAAUGCAAACAAAACAAAUCCAAAGAAGAAAAGCCACAUAAUCGUGUGACAGCCAAAACAGAAACUGGAUCAUAUUUCAGGCAACUCACGGUGUGAAUACACUAAUUAUUUGACUAAUAAAGAAAUGGCAAAACACAAAGAGGAUAUAAAAUGUCACGUUCCAUUUUUCUGGCACCCCCCACCCCCCAUAAGUAAUACAGGUUAGCGCAAAGACAAUUUAAUGCGACACUUAGUAGCUGUGGGCACAGGCGAUUCAAUAUGACAGCAGCGUCAGCACUCCCCAAAGGAGAGAGACUGGCGUCAACAGGGUGAGCGCGCCUUUGAGAACCGCGAGCCGAUCGCAGGGAAGUAGGACAGAGGCUAAAGGACCCGGAGACCUGCUCAGGAGGAGACUGGUAGCCGUGGAGGAGCCAAGAUGGAGGGCCUCGUUGGCCCCCAUGCUGCUGUCCAGAGUCGUGCUGGUGGAGCCUCUGGGCUUAAUUGGUGGCAGUGCUUACACGGCUGCUUCUCCCAACACUUCCAUCAGAAAUCUCAUUAUGUUAAAAAGAGAUGAGUCAGGGGUUCCAGAGUGAGUCGGCACUUUGAUCCUAAGUGGGGGGGUGGGUGUGUUGGGGGGGGUAGAGAGGGACAGUGUAAUCUGAAAUCAGCGCUGAUGGCGUUUUUUACCCCCCUGCCAGAAUCCCACAGCUCUUCUCGUUCGGUUGUUGCAGGGUGUGCGGCACAGCGAGGCGGCGGACUGCCCGACGUCAUGACAUCAUCGGCGUGUCAGAGACGCGCGAAAACCGGCGGGGAACGCGUCCCGCCGUCUCAUACUGUGGCACAACACCGUAAAGAACUGGGGGGGGGGGGACGAGGAUUAACCCCCUCCUGCAUCUGGAACAUUUCUGGAUAUCAACAAGAACGCAGGAAAGACCCCUCUUCCCUUCGCAUUCAGCUCCACACAACAACAACAACAACCACAACAACAACAACAGCAACAGCAACCACAACCACAACAGCAGCAGCAACAGCAACAGCAACAGCAACCACAACCACAACAACAACAGCAACAACAGCAACAGCAACAGCAACAGCAACAGCAACAAAAAAGACGUUUGCAAACACGACGCUCUGGAGAGGACUGACGCAUUGCGAGGCCUUCACUGUGGAACGAGGGAUUAAUCUCUCACUGGGACCCGGCCUGCAGCAGGGAGUAGGAUGCAGAAGGAUAACCAGCUACUGCGUGACUCGCAGAGAGAGAGAGAGAGAGAACUAAGAAUGUUGGUGCACAGAAACGGGGUCUUGUGAAGCUGCCGCAGGUUUUUUCAUUUUUAUUUUUUUAUUAUUUUGGAUUUCUCAAGUCCCCCCUGAGACCCGGCAGAAAAAAGCAUUUACAUUUUUUUUAUUUUUAAAAAAACUUUUUUUAGAUUUUAAUUUUUAAGUAAUGCAAGUGUCUUGACAAGAUGACAAAGACACAAUGCAGUACAAACGUAUUCAAAAAUAUUGUUCAUUUUAUUUCCAUUCAGUGACCCUGGUAGUGUAGGUUUUUAGCACGGUGGGACUAGUGGCCCCUUACAGGGGACACAGAUGAGUCACCGGGUCUUAAGGGGACGCAUGUUUCCCUGUGUGAUUACUGUUAUUACUUUGAUCAGAAUGCUGUAUCACUGCUCUUGAAGGCAUCUACCUCAGUGUCCACAUCGUCCCAUCCUCACGGGAGGCUGCAGCGCCUGGUCCUGCUGGGACAGCCGCGUGUCAGUGUGUGAGCAACGCUUCGUGCCGCUGGCAGCUACGCGGUGCCGUUUAUUUUGUGCCACCUGUCAGUUCAGUGCUACCAGACAAAUAAUGGGGGGGGAAAUAAAUUGCCUGACUGGUGAUGACUCAGUUACUGCAGCUACAAACGGGGAAAAGUGUGAGGUACUGAUAUAUCGUAUUGUUACAGUACAUAUUGCACUCAUUCAAAAUUAAUAGCAAUGUCAUUAUUAUUACAGUUAUGCUAAGUAUCAUGCAUUUUGAUCCAGCAAAAAAAAGAUUUGACAAGGCAAAAAAAAUAAAUAAUAAUAAUUCACACUGAUUUUAAGUGUGCAUUAUAUACUCACUCAUUUACAAACAAGCCAGUUUCUCAUUAGCAUCAUAAAUAUACAUCCCCCCACCCCCUCCACCCCCCUGCCAUCCCUAGUACCAUGCCAUACGAACCCACCCACACACUCACACAGCGGCGAAUGUUCGUGCCAUCUCACCACCAUCGACUGUGCUGCUGCCCCCCAGGACAGCACUCAGAGAACACGAGGAUGCAGACGCAGGAGAGGGGGAAAUGCACCGCAGACUGUGAGGAGUCCAGUAAGGGGAGCGCAAUACUACCCAGGCUGAGAGUCAACACGUUUCUAUCUAUUUAUUUAUUUAUUUUUCUUGACAUUAUCUUUUUCUCCACUCCAUUUCUAGCGUUGAUUUACAUGCAAUGAGAAUCGCCUGAUCACUUCUGAGAAAGAAAUUUGUGUUGAGAGAAGAUGCAAAUUUUAGUUUUCUAUUACUGGCACUAUUGUUAUUAUUUUUGUUUGUUUCGUAAGUGACCGUUUUCUGUCUGUUUUGUUUUUUGUUUUUUUGUGACCUAUUUUUGAUAAAUAAAAUUUUGCGUUCUUA
Molecule: RNA transcript, 11180 nt
Organism: Anguilla rostrata (American eel)
Lineage: Eukaryota; Metazoa; Chordata; Actinopteri; Anguilliformes; Anguillidae
Gene name: shaker-related potassium channel tsha2-like
Exons: 2
Source: RefSeq, a predicted model, not a curated record